GACGAACGCUGGCGGCGUGCUUAACACAUGCAAGUCGAACGGAAAGGCCCUGCUUUUGUGGGGUGCUCGAGUGGCGAACGGGUGAGUAACACGUGAGUAACCUGCCCUUGACUUUGGGAUAACUUCAGGAAACUGGGGCUAAUACCGGAUAGGAGCUCCUGCUGCAUGGUGGGGGUUGGAAAGUUUCGGCGGUUGGGGAUGGACUCGCGGCUUAUCAGCUUGUUGGUGUGGUAGUGGCUUACCAAGGUUUUGACGGGUAGCCGGCCUGAGAGGGUGACCGGCCACAUUGGGACUGAGAGACGGCCCAGAAUCCUACGGGAGGCAGCAGUGGGGAAUAUUGCACAAUGGGCGGAAGCCUGAUGCAGCAACGCCGCGUGCGGGAUGACGGCCUUCGGGUUGUAAACCGCUUUCGCCUGUGACGAAGCGUGAGUGACGGUAAUGGGUAAAGAAGCACCGGCUAACUACGUG
This 468-nucleotide ribosomal RNA is filed under the name uncultured bacterium. Its description in RNAcentral is "partial 16S ribosomal RNA". It matches the Rfam family "Bacterial small subunit ribosomal RNA", at positions 28 to 507 of the family's 1533-position model. The record is from RNAcentral.